Molecule: non-coding RNA, 3394 nt
Organism: Equus caballus (horse)
Lineage: Eukaryota; Metazoa; Chordata; Mammalia; Perissodactyla; Equidae
Source: RefSeq, a predicted model, not a curated record
AAGGAUCACCUGCUUCUGGACUGACCAGGAGUAACUGAAACAGUGGAAGGUGAAACCUCAGAUAAGGGGACUACUGUACUGUCAAGCAGGCUGAAGAGGUUCUCACAGCUUUUACUGCUUUAAAAGUGGAUUGAGAAUAGUCACUUCAUUCAGGGAGGACGGAACACACGUGACAAUUAACAGCAUUAACCUCUACAGCAUUGGUCUGCAUUUCUGUUCAAAAAUUGACGCCUUCAAAAUGUUGAACCAAUCUGCUAGUAAUUUUAGAGGAAAGAAGCACGUGCUUAUUACAAAAAGAAAGUCUGUGGGUUCUUACAGAAGGCAUUAAAAUUGUUUCCAUCACAUGAUAUCAAAACAUAAGCAGAUUUGGAGACAACCCAGAAUGAUCACCUGGUGUUGAAGAUGAGGAAACCGAAGCCCAGGGGGACCCACACUAUGGAGAAGGUCACAGUAAAUCUGGAAAGAGUCACAUGAAGCUCAUCGUUCUGAACAUCCCAAUUCUACUUGUCAAGGAUGCCUGGAAAGAGACACUGAAGAGAACAGCACAGAAUAUGGAAACCCUGGAGAAGGGAGAACAACUUCAUUGCUAAGAUCAAAAUCAUCCUCGUUUUGAUAUAACCACCAUAAACUAGAAAAAAAAAGGGGGGUUUCAUCUAUACAAGAACUAAUCCUUGGGAAGUAAAUGUCAGUCCUCUGCGAGGACUGGUGGUUGCUUUUCUCUGCCCUUUGAUGUCAGCUUUCUGGGGCGAGGUGGCAGGACCCACAGUGAUGUCCGUUCAGACCACACAUUCCAACCCAGCCCAAGUCACAUGACUGGCGUGUUAGUGAGGUCAGUUUAGAUUAUUCUGGUUUUUGCGUAGCUGGGCAUCAGGUCCCUUGGUGGGGCUGCUUAAAUUGCUCCACCCCUGCAAAAUGCUGAAUGCCGUAUGAGGGGACCACCUGAUUGUCCAGCUCUGCUUCCCCAUGGGCAAAGAGCUGUAUGAAACACAUGCGGACCCUUAUCAGUGUUCCAAACUCUGCAAGGCUUGAAGUUGGUUUUCAAGCCACAGUUCACACAGAUUUAGUAAAAGCAGCCUACAUAGCUGUCCUUCUCUGAAAUCUUUGUUCUAACUUUUUCCAAAUGUGUUUAACUAAUUUUGAACUCUAGACUCAAAUCUCAAUACUCUCCAAUCCACUGCAUCUGUUUUCAAGAUACUGAGGCGCAUUUACAGAAAAUAUCGUCAUCCUUCAUGGGUUGAUUAGAUGAGUGAUGAGAUACUAAGUUCCCUUGGUUAACUGCCAUUCUCCAUGUUCUACUUUUCAACUGGUUCCCACCCACAGGCACUUUCUUCCCUAUCUAUUUCUCUUGUUCUUUCCUGUUCACUCUCCCCAUUUCCUCCUACUUGUGGUCACUGACUCCCAUUAUUAUUCUCUUCAUUCUGAGAUAAUAUAUGAGAAAACACUCUGUAAAUCCUAAAAUUCUAUACCAAAGUCAGACAUCAAUAUUAUAAUUAUAACUCAUCAUUUUACAAUCUGGUUUUGUGCGUGGGUAUGUGUGUACAGUGUGGGUGUAUUCAUGUGUGCAUGAGAGGAAAGCUCACCUGUCAUGAUUGGUCCUACAUCCUGGAGUGAGGUCUCCAUUACCCUUUCCUGACCAGAGAGGGCCUCUACCUACGUAGAGAGGCAAGCUCCAGAUAGAUCUAACUAAUUAGAAGUUUCAGAUGUGAGAUCUUUUGAAAAUACACAACAGUAGACAGCCUGUCCUAGUUAAUCUAAGAAGCAGAGAAAAUUUGCUUGUACUCUCCCAUUUGCCUAUCUGCUGACAUUUAUUUCUCCACCCAAGUAUCGCACUGAUCUCUGCUGUUCUCCAGCAAGUCCAAAUCUUCCCUGUUGGUUAAUGACCCCAGUAGCACACUAAGCAACUUUGAUGCUGUCAAAUUACCCUUUCUCCAAACUCACACUCCCCUGCAUUUAGACUACAGAAGGAAAAUAUCCCAUUAAUCUGGUCCACAUGGGAGAGUGACAAAAUAAUAACAACAUCCAUAUGGGCAAUUUUAUGUUUAAUAAUUUGAUAAUUGAUACAGAGGAAUGAUGGUUGAAAAGGUCCCUAGAAAAAUUUUUGGAAAAUAAUACUUUCUAGAGAUCCCUCAAAUUUAGAGGUGGCUCUUUGCUGUGACAUGCAUGAAGCAAUCUCCAACCUGAAAAAAGCAAAAUAGUGAAAUGGGGUGAUAAAUACCCUUUAAAAACCAGACAGAGUACUGGUCAACUGCUGUGGUGGUAAGAGGUGAUGCAUGGCAGCUGUCAGAGCUGCUUGAAGGCAUCCAUUAAAGCUUGGCAUCAAUUACUUUUAAUAUUGAUUAGACUAUUUCUACCAGGGAUAUUUACUCACAGAAGACAUUAAUCUAGAGCCAUUCAACUUUUUUUUUAAGUUGAUUUCUUUUUUUUUCUAGAAAGAAAUCUAAGUUGCCCCGUAGUCUAUUUGAAUGUAAGAAUAGAGACCAUAAAAAUAUAUUCACUAAGUGGACUAAAACUAUUUUUUAAAGCAAUUUAGCCUUUGGUCAUAAAAGAGAAAGAGAGCGAGGCAGACAGGCAAGACGCCAGGAGGCAAAGAUACAGGAAGGGAAAGAUACAGCAUCAAAGAAAAAGAAAAAUGAGCCCCAAAGAAACAGCAACAAAGAAAAAUACACCAAGGAGACAACGCAAACAUAUUCAAAACACACACAAGAGAAGGAGAGAAAGACAAGAAAGGCUACGCACAUAUACCCAAUGUCCCUAUGUACAGAAGACAGAUUGAAGAGCACAGAAAACAAGAACACGCACAUGAAGAGACCCUCUAGUGGCUUUGAUUUUGUCCCACCUGGCUAGGUUGAGCUAUGUUUCCCAGAUUUGCCUUCCCUGUAUCUUUCCAAUGAUGGUGAGCCACAGAGAGACUCAGAUUUGGAGGAUGGAAGUCAAGCAGCAUUCAUUGUUAUAAGUCACACAAAUCUUCACUUGUCCUCUGGCUCACCUCUUGGUAUGAGACAGAGUUCAGGCCUGCAACUGCUCCACCUUCUGCUGAAUUCUUCUUCUGCUUUUCCAACUCAUGUGUGUACAUGUGUAUGUGUGUGUGUGUGUGUUUGUGUGUGUGUGUAUUAAUACUGCAUCAGGUUAAAAAUUGGCAAUUUUAAGCAGAUGGAUUAAGUCAGAUAAAUACCAUGAUGAAGGGCCCCAGCUUCUGCAGGAAAUCCAUGCCAUCAAGGUGAAAAGCAAUAAAACUGAUGAUUGUGGGUUCCAGCAUGCUCCUACUCUCCUCCACUUUAUAUGCAUCUUCCCUUAUCCUUGUGGACUUCAAGCUUUAGCAUCAGACACAAGGACAGCAGCCUCACAGUGCCUGUUAAUUAGCUCCCAUGAUUGCAUAAAGUCAAACCCCUGUAAU